RNAcentral lists this ribosomal RNA (507 nucleotides) under uncultured bacterium. RNAcentral describes it as "partial 16S ribosomal RNA". It matches the Rfam family "Bacterial small subunit ribosomal RNA", at positions 30 to 523 of the family's 1533-position model. The record is from RNAcentral.
AUUGAACGCUGGCGGCAGGCCUAACACAUGCAAGUCGAGCGGCAGCGGAAGGAAGCUUGCUUCCUUGCCGGCGAGCGGCGGACGGGUGAGUAAGGUAUGGGGAUCUGGCCGAAGGCGGGGGAUAACCACUGGAAACGGUGGCUAAUACCGCAUAAUCUCUAAGGAGCAAAGUGGGGGACCGGUCAGGCCUCACACCUUCGGAUGAAACCAUAGGAAAUUAGCUAGUAGGUGGGGUAAUGGCUCACCUAGGCGACGAUCUCUAGCUGGUCUGAGAGGAUGAUCAGCCACACUGGGACUGAGACACGGCCCAGACUCCUACGGGAGGCAGCAGUGGGGAAUAUUGCACAAUGGGCGCAAGCCUGAUGCAGCCAUGCCGCGUGUAUGAAGAAGGCCUUCGGGUUGUAAAGUACUUUCAGUCGUGAGGAAGGUGUUAAGGUUAAUAACCUUAGCAAUUGACGUUAGCGACAGAAGAAGCUCCGGCUAACUCCGUGCCAGCCGCCGCAGUAA